UCCUGGUUUCCCAGGCAGUCCUGCCAGAGUGCCUUCCGAAGAAGUAGCAACUGACAGCAGGGGUUGCGCUCGUUAAAGGACUUAACCCAACAUCUCACGACACGAGCUGACGACAGCCAUGCAGCACCUGUGUACCUGUCCAAGUAAACCUGGAAAACCAUGUUUCCAUGGCGGUCAAGUACAUGUCAAGCCUAGGUAAGGUUCCUCGCGUAGUGUCGAAUUAAACCACAUGUUCCACCGCUUGUGCGGACCCCCGUCAAUUCCUUUAAGUUUUAGUCUUGCGACCGUAAUCCCCAGGCGGAUCACUUAACGCGUUAGCUUCGACACAGAUUCUGCUAAGCAAAACCCACAUCUAGUGAUCAUCGUUUACAGCGUGGACUAC
Molecule: unclassified non-coding RNA, 382 nt
Filed under: uncultured bacterium
Lineage: Bacteria
Description: contains 16S-23S intergenic spacer region
Source: RNAcentral